Tarenaya hassleriana is the source of this 240-nucleotide long non-coding RNA. RefSeq lists it as uncharacterized. The transcript has 2 exons. Lineage: Eukaryota; Viridiplantae; Streptophyta; Magnoliopsida; Brassicales; Cleomaceae. The record is from RefSeq and is a predicted model, not a curated record.
CUUCCACUUCCCCAAGCUUUUUGGGAUUUGGCAACCGACCCACCAUGUGAGCGAACACUGCCUCCAUCUGAUUCCAUUGUCUGUUUAUGUUUGAUUUCGCCAUGGUUCUGGGAGCGGUCGGAGGCGGCGUGGUUCAUGUUCAACGUGACUUGCAUGCAUGGGGUUCUCCCCUCUUUUCCAAUGAUGUAUUAUUAUUGGCAUCUUAUCUUAUAAUAAGAAAAGAAAAAGUUGAUACGAGAA